AGACUCCACGCCCGUGGGAGUAGUGAGAGGCAUAGGAUGGGACAGAAGGAGAUGCUAAACAGUGAUGCAGAAGCAGCGAAGACCUCCGCAAUCCUGCAGGGAAGCUUGGGAGCUGGUACGGCCCUGCAGAGAUGCACUGAGGGAAGCCAAGCUGCCAUGUUGUAAGCUGCCCUAUGAAGGGACCCACAUGGCAAAGAAUGGAGAAUGACCCCAGCCAGCCAAGAACUCUCAGCCUACCGGCCCAUGAGGAACUGAAUCCUGCCAACAGCGAUGUGAGUGAACUUGGAAGUGGAUCCUUCUCCAGUGGCACCAUCAGCUCACCAUCCAGCCCGCCUGAGGCUCUGCCCACUGACAGGCUACUCCCAGGACAAUACUAGCUCCCCAGGACAAGCACUACACCCAGACGGCAUGUCAUUCAACAAGUCGGGGGCAGGCUUAAGGUGAAAAAUCAUCCCAAUUCUGGAGAUAUUAUCUGAAAAAAAAAGACUGUUUUCAGGAAACAAUCUUCCCAUCUGUGGUGAUUUUUAAAAUAUAGUUCCCAAAUUUUAUGUGGGAAAGGAAAGUAGCAAUAUAGAUGCAGG
This is a long non-coding RNA of Homo sapiens (human), 581 nucleotides long. RefSeq lists it as uncharacterized. Lineage: Eukaryota; Metazoa; Chordata; Mammalia; Primates; Hominidae. The transcript is spliced from 3 exons. The record is from RefSeq and is a predicted model, not a curated record.